RNAcentral lists this ribosomal RNA (449 nucleotides) under uncultured bacterium. Its description in RNAcentral is "partial 16S ribosomal RNA". It matches the Rfam family "Bacterial small subunit ribosomal RNA", at positions 29 to 523 of the family's 1533-position model. The record is from RNAcentral.
AAUGAACGCUGGCGGCAGGCCUAACACAUGCAAGUCGAACGGAUCCUUCGGGAUUAGUGGCGGACGGGUGAGUAACGCGUGGGAACAUACCCUUUGGUACGGAAUAGCCUCGGGAAACUGGGAGUAAUACCGUAUGUGGUCGAGAGACGAAAGAUUUAUCGCCAAAGGAUUGGCCCGCGUUGGAUUGGGUAGUUGGUGGGGUAAUGGCCUACCAAGCCGACGAUCCAUAGCUGGUUUGAGAGGAUGAUCAGCCACACUGGGACUGAGACACGGCCCAGACUCCUACGGGAGGCAGCAGUGGGGAAUCUUAGACAAUGGGGGAAACCCUGAUCUAGCCAUGCCGCGUGAUCGGUGAAGGCCUUAGGGUUGUAAAGAUCUUUCAGGUGGGAAGAUAAUGACUGUACCACCAGAAGAAGCCCCGGCUAACUCCGUGCCAGCCGCCGCAGUAA